Molecule: long non-coding RNA, 10272 nt
Filed under: Nicotiana benthamiana
Lineage: Eukaryota; Viridiplantae; Streptophyta; Magnoliopsida; Solanales; Solanaceae
Description: long non-coding RNA (NBEN_LNC019824)
Source: RNAcentral
GUGGAAUAGGUUGGUUUAUUAAACAGGCUAAAACUUGAGGUCUAAAAUUGUCACGACCCCAAAUACCGGCCGUGAUGACGCCUAUUACAUUACUAGGCAACACCAACAGUCUAGGAAAUGCAGAAAAGAUAACAACACAGAGGAAAGAAACAGGGUUGCGGACGCCAUGCAACUACAAGGAAAUCUCCAUCAACACAUUGGAUCUGCUAAACAACCCUCAAUCAGCCGCUCAGGCACCUGGAUCUGCAUACAAGGUGAAGAGACCAACAUGAGUACACCAACUCAGUAAGUAACUAAAGUAAAUAAGGACUGAAAGCAGUGACGAGCAGUUCAAAAGCAUAAAACUGAAAAUCACAAGAUAACAUAUCAACUUUACAGUUUAAAACCAGUUUCGUCAAAGAAUCGGCCUUUCCAGUUAAAAACAUUUGAAAUCAGAUACUUAACAAUAUUGUCAAUAGAGGCUUAUUUGAAAACAGAGUGAAAUCAGUGAAAAUAUCAUAGAUGGGCCCCUCGGGCAAGGAAUCACAUGAAAUAUGGCCUCUCCCGCAACCUCUCAGUCACUUGUGACUUAACCCUCGUCAUUCAGUCUCAGAACAUCUUAUAAUAAUAGAAAUCAUAAUAAUCGUUGUGGCGUGCAGCCCGAUCCAUAUAUUUAUAGUCGACUAUGCUCACUAGGGGUGUGCAGACUCCGGAGGGGCUCCUACAGCCCAAGAAUUAUACCGCUGUGGCGCGCAGCUCGAUAUGCAGUCUGAUCCAUAUAAGUAUAGUUGCGGCGUGCAACCCGAUCCAUAACUCACAUAUAUACAAAUAUUCUCACACUUAGUUCCGCGGCCUCUCUCAAUCAUUAACCUCACAACCUCUCGGGCACAACAAUGGAAAUUAGGGAACUCAGUCCAAAUAGUUAUCUCUUUUAAAAGUAACAAAAAUAAACCCGUUUUUACAUUUAAUCGGUAAAACAUGACUGAGGAUAUGCUUUUAGCAAGUAAAGUGAGGAAAACCGUCAAAAUUCCCUUGAGGGUCUUCUACAGGCCGGCACAAAGCCCCAAACAUGGCAUACAACACAUAAUAUAGUAUAAUAUCCAAAAUAAGGAAUAAUAUUAUAUUUUCAAACCAAAUACGCAGCUUAAUAGGCGCUACGGGAUGGACCAAGUCACAAUCCCUACCAGUGCACGUCCACAUGCUCGUCACCUAGCAUGUGCGUCACCGUGUUUAUCAAAACAAGUCAAAUACCAGGGUUUUGUACCCUUAGUUCCAGAUUUACAAUGGUUGCUUAUCGUAAACCGGUGAAAUACUACUCUAUGAUGCUGUUUCCCCUCGAAUCGGCCUCCACUCACGUCGAAUCUAUCGAAAAUCAGAACGAGGACUUCAAAAUAUGCUAAAGGAACAAAGCCCAAGAGAAAACAUUCAAUAAAUGGCACAAAUCUCGAAAUUACCAAAAUCUGGCCCCCAGCCCAUGUCUCGAAAUUCAAAAAAUUUACAUCAAUAGAUUUCUGAUCUCCCUACGAGUUCAUACAUAUCAAAAGUUCUCAAAUCCGACCCCAAAUGGUCAUUCAAAUCCCCAAUCAAAGUCCCAAUUUCCAAGCUCUAGUUGCUAAUUUUUAGCUAAAUUUCCAUGAUUUUCUAGGUGGAAUUCACAUAAUAAUCGAAUUUUAAGUCCAAGACUAUUACCUCAAAGUGAUUCCACUUGAAUCCAUCUUCGAUCUCCUUCCCAAAAAAUCUCCAAAAAUGACCAAAUAUGGAGGAAAAUAACCCCACAUUCGCGGAUAAGGCGACCUUUUAAACAUUCUGCCCAGGCCUAAAAAUCGUUCUUCACGAAUACGGUCAAAGCCUCGGGUUCACGAAGCACAAAAUUACCUUGACUAAAUUUCCUCCUACGCGAUCGAGACACACACGCGAGCGCGAUGCCUUACCAGAUGACCCUUCGCGAACACGAACACUCCAUCGCGAACGCGAUGGGUUAACUCCUACUAAAGCUCAAUCUCUCUAUUUCUUCUAUGAGAACGUGACUACACGCACGCGAACGCGAUGCACAACCUCGCGGCUCUUCGUGAACGUGAAGGCUAAAUUCUAACCUUCCUAAGCUUACUCUUCGCUAAUGCGAGGGCCCACUCGCAAACGCGAAGAGUUAAUUUCUUGCAACAGUUGAACCUAUUUUCUGCAAUUUUCCUUAACUUAAAAUGAUUCGUUCAACCCUCUGAAACUUAUCUGAGGACCCCCAGACAUCAACCAAAGGGAUGAACAUAUCCUAAAACCUUAUUCAAACUUGUUCCAAUCUUCAAAGAACCUCAAAUACCAUCAAAUAUCAACCAAAGCACAUCGGAUUCAAGAUUAAGUUUCUAAAAUCUUCCGAAUUUCACUUUUGAUAAAAAACCAAACAAGACUACGUCUGAAUGACCUGAAAUUUUGCACACACAUCCCAAAUGAUAUAACGUAGCUACUACAACUCUUGGAAUUCCAUUCUAACCACUAUAUCAAAAUCUCACCUACCAAUCAGAAAUCGUCUAAAUAUUAACUUCGCCAAUUCAAGCCUAAAUCUAUUCCGGACCUCCAAAACCCAUUUCGAUCACGCUCCUAAUUCAGAAAUCACCUCUAGAAGCUAACCGAACCAUCAGAACUCACAUUUGAGCCCUCUAAUACAUAAGUAAAUAUCUUGUUGACUUUUCCAACUUAAGCUUCCUUAAGAAGAGACUAAGUGUCUCAAACCUUACCAAAUCCUUUGAGAACUCGAUCCGGCCGACUCGAUACAACAAAACACAGAUAACAAGCGUAAAGAAGCAGAAAUGGGGGAAAUAGAGCGGCAACUCAUGAGAUAACUUGCCGGGUCAUCACAUCAUCCCCAACUUAAACAAACGUUCAUCCUCGAAUGAGUUAAAAAUAUACAUGAAGCCUCAAACAGGUGAGCAUAUCUGCUCUGCAUCUCCCGCUCGGUCUCCCGGGUAGCCUCUUCCACGGGCCGACAUCUCCAGUGCACUUUCACUGAAGCUAUAUUCUUUGACCUCGACUUUCGAACUUGACGAUCCAAAAUAUCUACUGGCUCUACAUCAUAUGUCAAAUCAUCAUCCAAUUGAACCGUGAUGAAGUCCAGAAUAUGCGACAGAUCCCCAAUAUACUUCUGAAGCAUAGAAACAUGAAAUACAGAUGUACACUCGACAAGAUGGGUGGCAAAGCAAGCUCAUAAGCCACCUCCCCACUCAUCUGGAGUACCUCAAAAGGUCCAAUGAACCUCAGACUCAACUUCCCUUUCUUCCCAAAUCUCAUAACACCCUUCAUUGGUGAAACCUUCAACUGAACCUUCUUUCCAGCCAUGUACGACGCAUCUCGCACCUUCCUGCCAGCAUAGCUCUUUUGCCUUGACUGCGCUGUAUGGAGCCUCUCCUAAAUCACUUUUACCUUCUCCAACACAUCCUAUACCAAAUCUGUCCCCAAUAGCCUAGCCUCACCGGGAUCGAACCAACCAAUAGAAGAUCUACACUACUUCCAUACAAAGCCUUAUAUGGAGCCAUCUAAAUACUCAACGGUAACUGUUGUAAUAAGCAAACUCUGCAAGCGGUAGAAACUGAUCCCAUGACCCUCCGAAAUCAAUGACACAAGCACGUAACAUAUCCUCCAAUAUUUGAAUAGUACGCUCGGACUGCCCAUCCGCUUAAGGAUGAAAAGUUGUGCUCAACUCCACCUGAGUACCCAACUCUCGUUGCACAGACCUCCAAAACUGCGAUGUAAACUGAGUGCCCCUAUCUAAAAUGAUAGAAACAGGGACACCAUGCAAACGAACAAUUUCCCGGAUAUAAAUCUCUGCCAACCACUCUGAAGAAUGGGUAGUACACACAGGAAUGAAGUGCGCGGACUUGGUCAGCUGAUCCACAAUCACCCAAGUAGCAUCAAACUUUUUCAAAGUUCGUGGAAGUCCAACAACAAAGUCUAUAGUGAUCCUCUCCCACUUUCACACUUGAAUAUCCAUCCGCUGGAGCAAGCCACUCAGUUUCUGAUGCUCAUAUUUUACUUGCUGACAAUUGAGCAACGAGCUGAAAAUCCCACAAUGUCUUUCUUCAUUCUUCUCUACCAAUAGUGCUGCCUCAAAUCGUGAUACAACUCUGCGGCACCUGGAUGAAUGGAAUACCGUGAGCUAUGGGCCUCCUCUAGAAUCGACUCCUGAACGCCAUCCACAUUGGGCACGCAAGUCCGGCCCUGCAUCCUUAACACUCCAUCAUCACCAAUGGUCACAUCCCUUGCAUCGUCAUGCUGAACUCUAUCCCUAAGGACAACCAAAUCGAAUCAUCAUAUUGGCGCUCUCAAGUGCGCUCAUAUAAAGAAGACUAAGAAAUCACACAAGCCAAUACUCGACUAGGCUCCGAAAUAUCCAACCUCACGAACCUACUGGCCAAGGCCUGAAUAUCAACUACAACAGGUCUCUCCCCAACUGGAAUAUAUGCCGAACAUCCCAUACUCACUUCCCUUUCGGCUCAAAUCAUCGGCCACCAUAUUGGCCCUUUCCUAUAUGAUACAAUAUAGUGAUGUCAUAAUCCUUAAGCAACUCAAACCACCUCCGCUGUCUCAAACUAGGAUCCUUUUGCUUGAACAUGUGCUGAAGACUGCAAUGAAUAGUGAAGACCUCACAAGAUACGCCAUACAAGUAAUGCCUCCAAAUCUUCAAUGCGUAAACAAUGGCAGCCAACUCUAAAUCAUGAACGGGGUAAUUCUUCUCAUGGGGCUUCAACUGACGAGAAGCGUAAGCAAUAACUAUACCCUCCUACAUCGACACACAUCCAAUCCCAACUCUCAAAGCAUCACAAUACACGGUGUAUGAACCUGAAGCUGAUGGAAAAACCAAUACUGGAGCUGCGGUGAAAGCUGUCUUGAGCUUCUCAAAGCUCUCCUCACGUUCAUCUGACCAUACAAAUAAAGUACCCUUCUGAGUCAACUUGGUCAAAGGCGAUGCAAUAGAUAAGAAUCCCGGAACAAACCGGCAAUUAUAGCCUGGCAAACUAAGAAAAUUCUGAAUCUUUGUAGCGAAGACGGUCUGGGCUAACUCUUCACCGCCUCUAUCUUACUUGAGUCAACCUGAAUACACUCACUAGACACUACCUGUCUCAAGAAUGCCACUGAACUGAGCCGGAAUUCACACUUGGAGAACUUUGCAAAAAGUUUCUCCUCCUUCAAUCUCUACAAUACAACCCUCGAAUGCUCCGCGUGCUCCUUCUGACUAUGCAAUAUAGCAGAAUAUCAUCAAUGAAGACUAUGACAAACGAGUCAAGAUAAGGCCGGAACACACUGUUCAUCAAAUGCAUGAACGUUGUUGGGGCAUUCGUCAUCCCAAAAGACAUCACCAAGAACUCAUAAUGACCAUAUCAGGUCCUGAAAGCCGUCUUAAGAAUAUUUGAGUCCCUGAUCUUCAACUGGUGAUAACCCGAAUGGAGAUUAAUCUUGGAAAACACCCUCGCCCCUUGAAGCUGGUCGAAUAAAUCAUCAAUAUGAGGCAAAGGAUACUUGUUCUUAAUUGUUAGCCUAUAAUCAAUGCACAUUCUUAUUGUGACAUCCCUAUUUUUCAUAAACAGAACCAGCGCAUCCCAAGGUGGUACACUAGGCCGAAUGAACCCAUUAUCUAGGAGUUCCUGAAGCUGAUCCUUUAAAUCAUUCAACUCCACUAGUGCCAUACGAUACGACAGAAUAGAAUUGGGCUGAGUGCCCGGCACCAGGUCUAUACCCAAAUCAAUAUCCCUGUCCGGUGGCAUGCCUGAAACGUCUGCAUGAAAUACAUCAGGGAAGUCCCUCAUAACUAGAACAGAAUCAAUACUAGGAGUCUCAGCUCUGACAUCCCUCACAAAGGCAAUAUACGAAAGAUAACCCUUCCCAACCAUAUGAUGGGCUUUUAAGAAAGAGAUCACUCUACUAGGAACAUAAUCAGUCACACCUUGCCACUCGAUCCCUGGCACACAUAGUAUAGCUAAUGUGACUGUCUUGGCAUGACAAUCCAGAAUAGCGCGACAUGGAGAUCACCAAUCCACGCCCAAAAUAACAUCGAAAUCCACCAUGCUCAAUAAUAAUAAAUCAACUCGGGUCUCCAGACCCUCAAUAGUGACCACACAUGACCGAUGCACACGGUCUACAACAAUAGUAUCGCCUACCGGGGUAGAUACAUAAACAGGUAAAGCAAGAAUCUCAUGAGGUGUACCUAAAUAACAAGCAAAGUAUGGUGACAUAUUAGAAAAUGUGGGUCCAGGAUCAAAUAAUACAGAGGCGUCUCUAUGGCAGACUGAAAUAAUACUUGUAAUAAUAACAUAUGAAGCAAUAGCAUCAGGUCUGCCUGGAAGAGCAUAGAAACAGGCCUGACCGCCCCUUGAUCGACCUUCCCCUCUAGGGCGACCCCUGGCUGACUGACCUCCACCCUUAGCUGGCUGGGUGAGUGGUGAAGUAACUAGAGCAGAAGUCGAGGGCUUCCCCUUUUACUGAGACUGACCAUCAUGAAGAUGAGGACACUGCCUCCUCAUAUGCCCAAAUUCUUCGCAGUCAUAGCAAUUCCCUGUGCUGGAGAUGGCGACUGAAGGGAACCCCUAGCACCGGAAUGACUAGUAGAAGGACCUAGCAUGGAGGAACCCUAGACUGACGGAGCACGGGAUGCACUUUGAGCUGGAAGGGCACUAAGUGCAAAGUGUCCCUGAUGAGAACUGUGAAAACCAUGACCAGAUGAGUUCAACAUUUCCAAUGUAUCCCGUUAAUUCUUCCAAUGUUGGGGUAAGUUCGAAAUCUAAGAAGUGGAACACGUUGUGCGCCGGGUCCCAGCACGUGACCAACGCUCUAAUGAUGUCUCCUCGGGGUGCAAUAUCCAGUAACUCGGGGAGGCCCCUCAAGUACUUCUUUAUCUCAUCUGGCCCUUCUUUACCUAGAUCAUUCCACCACAAUCGCAGCUCCAAAGGAACUCGGCUCACAAAUGAAAAAGGUUCGAUUUGAAUUGUGCUCAUCUUGCACAUUUAUUAAGGUGAAUUAGUGACUUGUGACUUUAUUCCUGUCUGACUUCAAAAUCAAAAGCUUUCUUCUAUGAAAUUUAUUUUCUAAAACCAAACGUCUAGUUUUGCUAAUACAACCUUUUAGCAUUUCCGGAAGAAGAUUUAAGGUUGUGCUCGCUAGCCGACCAAAAAUACAAUAACGACCCAAAGGUGGCCGUUUGUUCAAAAUCAGCCUUCCGGCAUCCUUUUCGGGAACGCUUGGCUAUUCCUGACAAUAACGUCACCUGACCUAUUUAGGAUAAUAAAUAAAAUUUGAAAACUAUUUUAAAAAAGGGAAGUUGGACCCGAUGGGGGUUGCCUACGUUUCCCAUACGUAGUGAGAAUCAAACCGGCGUAGUUCGGGCAAAACAAUUUGCCAAAACCAAAAUUUUGUUGAAAAGCCCAUUUUCUUUUGUUUUUCUCCUUUCCCCCCUUUUUUUCAAAAAUCCGGCAAUAUUUCGGUGAUAUUUAAGCAUUGGUUUUAUAAGACAAAUGAUUAACUUCAGUCAGCCCUAGUACAACUUAUUUAUUUUCCCAAUUCUCUUUUCGCAUUCACAAGCCAGUCAACAUGCAAAUCCAACGCAACUAUAUGCACAAGUAGCACGUAAUAUGUAGCAGGAUGGUUUUUUCAUUACAGGUCCCUUGUCCUAGACGGACCCAACCCCGUGUUGAGGCGCCUAAGUCAAAUGCAGGUGAUGCAAACAAAUGUUCCUACUAGGGAUCCGACAUGAGGUUCUGUUAUACUAAGUUUAGCUCCUAGGUAUUUGUUUUAGACUGUGUACCCGUGCAGACAACUCGAGUCGAGGAGGGGGCUACGUACCGGGGACCCGCAAGAUCGUCCGACUUUGUAUCUUGUCCGGCCUCUUUCUUAUUUUAGGGUAAGACACUAACAAAAUAGGGAGUCUCAACCAGUAAGCACAUCCCCGGAGGUUAAGAGAGAAGUGUUUCGUAACAGUUUAUAUACAAUUCAAAUAAUAUCAAAACGGUAAAAGCAUUAUUUUGCACAUUAAGUCAACAUGUAAAAUCAAAUAAUAAUCAAAGCCAUUAGGGUAUGACAUUAACAGAAUAAGGAGUCUCAACCAGUAAGCACAUCCCGAGAGGUGAGAAGAGAAGAGUUUUGUAGCAGUUUAUAUGUACAGUUCAGGUAAUAUCAAAGCGAUAAAAGCAUCAUUUUGCACAUUAAAUCAACACGUAAAAUCAGAUAAUAAACAAAGCCAAAUACAACAAUUAUUCUAAGCUCGAAUUCUUGAACCCACCAGUAAGCACAUCCCCGGAGGUGAGAAGAGAAGGGUUUCGUAGCAAUUUAUGUGUACGGUUAAGAUAAUAUCAAAGCGGCAAAAGCAUUAUUUUGCACAUUAAGCCAACAUGUAAAAUUAGAUAAUAAACAAAGAAAAAUUCAAAAAUUAUUUAAACCUCGAAUUCUUGAACCCUGAACCAAAGAUUCUGGGUUUAAUCCCCAGCAGAGUCGCCAGAGCUGUCACACCUCAUUUUGGCUACUACAACCUUCGAAUGGCGUAAUAAGGGAGUUUUUUCCAAUUUAAGUGACAAGCGAAACGGGAUUAAUUAUUAAAAAUCAGAGUCGCCACUUGAGAUAAUUUAUGGUGUCCCAAGUCACAGAUUCAAAUCCCGAAUCGAGGAAAGUUUGACUCUAUUUAACAGUCCGCGAACUAGAAAUUCGAGUAAGGAAUUUUAUUAACCCGGGAGAAGGUGUUAGGCAUUCUCGGGUUCCGUGGUUCUAGCACGAUCGCUCAACUAUCAUAUUUGGCUUAAAUUAUUUGAUUUUAUACAAUUAUGAACCUAUGUGCAUUUUAAAUCUUUUAAUCACUUUUAUUAAGUAUUUUAAAGAAGAUUGCAACGUUAUUAAAAAAUGUCUUGAACCACGUUACAUAAAAGCACCUGUAGCUCGCAGCAUAUUUUAUUUAACAUUGAAAUUUGAAUUUGGGUCACAUAAAUGCGCAUCCAAAUUUAAAAAAGUAAUUUAAAUUACGCACGUAAAGAAACUGGGAGAUUCAUUUUUGUAAUAGCGGCAAUAUAAAGAUAUAAGACUGCUAAGCUUUGCGAAAACUCUGUUUCAACUUUUGACCAAAACACUAGCUAAAUAUAAAAGAAAACUUGAGAAUAGCAUUGCAGAGUUGCAACAUUCCUCAUCCACAUAUCUCUUGGCAUCAUAAUUUAUAAGCAGAAGUAAACCCAAUAUGUAGAGUCAAAAGCCAACAGAUUUUGAGUGGUUGCAUUAUUAUAUACUACUAUAUAUUUUUUUUCCUUUUGCAAAUCCUAAAGCAUUCCUCAUAAUGUAAAUCCGCCCUCAUUCACAAAUAAAAAUCCUAGUUGUUCAGCCAGUCAAUUCCAACAUAAUUCAGCAAAUUUUCUCAUAAAGCAACAGUAAACAAAGAGGAAAAGAUAAACUAAAAGAAAGAGUGUUGUAGCGGCAACUGUCAAGAUCAGCACACCCCAAAUGUAAUCCUUCCACUAAUAUCAUAUCAAACUAAGUCUAAGUUUAGAUUCAUCGUACUAAUAAAUAAAAAAAAGACCAAUGAUUCAAUAGCAGGCAUCCAAAAUAAAAUUAAAAGCAUGGUAAAAUAAUGAAUACAAAGCGAAAUGCAGACCACAAACUCCAAAUAUUUACAGAACCACUAAAACAGUACCACUCUAACAAAGCAUUAAGAAAAAUGGGAGAUAGACCUGAAGAAGCUUUCUGAUUUAUUGAGUUGCGGCAGUUACACAGACUGAAAUGAACCAACAACUACAGCCGGAAAUCGACACGAUUUCAAACAGAUUCAGCACGAAAUCCGAUUUGUGUUGAAACCAGAAAAUUGAUUCAGACACGACUCAGAUCGACACCUCAACUCGUUUUUAAAACUCAAAUGAUCUCCAUCUUGAAAAUCACAAUCAAAAUUAGAAGAAAAGCAGCACCACAUUUUUUUUGGUAUUUUUCUAAUUUUGAAUUGAAAUCUCUUAUGGGCGUGUGUGUUUGGGCGUUGCGGCUGAUUUCCAGCCUUUAGGUCCUAGGUCCGUUUCCCAUUUUUGUGUCAAAAAAAUGGGUGGAAAGCUGAUGCUUAGGGGUUUCUUUGUUGUGAAUUCAUGAAAAAGAUAAAGAGUAUUAGGGAGGGAUGUGUGUUUUUGUGUUGCGGCGGGUAGGGGGCAUCGGGUGUGGUCAGCUCCUCAGCUGUGCUCUUUUUUUAAUCUCCGCAUUUCUCUUCUAUUUUUAUAGAUCUAGGUCUUUUUUUUAGCUAGGAUAAGGGUAAGGGCAUGGACUUGGGUCGUGUGGGUUUGGAUAGGAAAAUCAUAAUUU